GGGGAUGUAGCUCAGUGGUAGAGCACUUGCCUAGCAGGCAUGAAUUGCUGGCUUCCAUCCCCAGCACCCCCC
Ictidomys tridecemlineatus (thirteen-lined ground squirrel) is the source of this 72-nucleotide non-coding RNA. The record is from Rfam. NCBI's taxonomy places the organism in Eukaryota, Metazoa, Chordata, Mammalia, Rodentia, Sciuridae.